GAAAAGAAAAAAGAAAAAGAAAAUGGGAGCCCCCAAGACUACCCAGCUUUUCAUGCAAUCCUAGAGGGAAUGAUGGGCAGAUCCAGGCCUCUGGGACCAGUCCUAAGGCUCAGCCAUCUAGGGCUGGGACAGGGGCAUCAGUGCCCUUUGGAAGCCAGGCAAAUGUCAUGCAAAUGUGUCUGCAGAGGGCUCCUCUGCCUCAGGAGGGCAACCCAGGAUUUCCCACCACCCGCUCCCUGAGCUCAGACCCUGCAGGGGACUUUGUUUCUGGCCCUGCCACUGACUUACUUGAGGAGGUCACUCUGAUUCCCAAUUUGUGUAAGGGAGAUUAAAACAGCAGACACCUCCUAAGUUUGCUGGUGAAGAUUCAACAGGAUAAUAUAUAUGAAAUGUUUAGCAUAGAGCCUGCCUGGCACAGCAAGCUCUCCAUAAAGGUGGCUGCUCUGUAUUUAUCAUCAUCAUCAUCACCACCAUUGACUUCAGCCUGCCCAUGUGGUGGAUGCUGAAACAGGCUGAGGGUGGUUACUCUCCUGGGAGGACAAGGAAGGGGCUCUGAGACCCAAGCCUGGUCUUGUCAGGAGAAGGGGGUAGGGGGCGGACCCCAGCUGAAAAGGGAGUGAGUUGGAGCUAUAUUUGAGCUCCUGGUGUGAUGACUAAGGAGGUUGAUAACAGGCUCUGGGGCUCAGGGCGGCAGGCUGGGGGCAGCUGUCAGGGAGAACCGCCCCCCUGGAGACGGCUGUCUCUGGAGGCCCUUUCUGGCUCCCUCCUUGCCCUCACUCUUGGUGGGGGAGGGGGGUGGGCGUACUGAGGCAGGGUCCAGGGCUCAUCCAGCCCACUCCUGGAAACUCAGUGCUGUCCUUCAGGCUGUGUGGGUCAGGGAUAGGAAGGCAGGAUGCCAGUGAUAGAUGGAGUAUCCCAGUUACUCUCCAUAGUAACCCUGUGAGGUUGGUAAUGAGGCCCCCAUUGGACAGAGGAAGAAACCGAGGCCCAGGGAUUACACAGCCAGUAGAGAGAGGACAGAGCAUGGAGCUCCUGGAGAGGCAGUGGAUAAUUCUUCCCGACAGAGGAGCUGACUGUUGAACCCCUUCUUUGAAGGAGAGUCCGUGCUGCCAAAUCGAAGAAGAGAAACGCCCUGGCUGGAAAGCAGAGAGAACAGCAGGUCAGAAAGUCUGCUCAGCAGUAGCUGUGGAUGUCGCAGGUUCGGCUCAGAAACUCCAGUGUCCCUCAGCGUCUCGCCGGCACCCUCUGCCGGCGUGAGGUGGCGCUGCCUGGCCGCAUCCU
This 1281-nucleotide long non-coding RNA is filed under the name Homo sapiens (human). RNAcentral's name for it is "HSALNT0405720". The record is from RNAcentral. Lineage: Eukaryota; Metazoa; Chordata; Mammalia; Primates; Hominidae.